This 1208-nucleotide ribosomal RNA is filed under the name metagenome. RNAcentral's name for it is "bacterial SSU rRNA". It matches the Rfam family "Bacterial small subunit ribosomal RNA", at positions 8 to 1226 of the family's 1533-position model. The record is from RNAcentral.
AGAGUUUGAUCCUGGCUCAGGACGAACGCUGGCGGCGUGCCUAACACAUGCAAGUCGAGCGGAGACAGUGAGUAGCUUGCUAUGAGCUGUUUUAGCGGCGGACGGGUGAGUAACGCGUGAGCAACCUUUCCCAGACAGGGGAAUAACACACCGAAAGGUGUACUAAUACCGCAUAAGACCACGGGAUCACAUGGUUCUGGGGUAAAAGAUUUAUCGGUUUGGGGUGGGCUCGCGUCCGAUUAGGUAGUUGGUGAGGUAACGGCCCACCAAGCCGACGAUCGGUAGCCGACCUGAGAGGGUGAUCGGCCACAUUGGGACUGAGACACGGCCCAAACUCCUACGGGAGGCAGCAGUGGGAAUAUUGGGCAAUGGAGGAAACUCUGACCCAGCAACGCCGCGUGGAGGAAGAAGGUUUUCGGAUCGUAAACUCCUGUCCUUGGAGACGAGUAGAAGACGGUAUCCAAGGAGGAAGCCCCGGCUAACUACGUGCCAGCAGCCGCGGUAAUACGUAGGGGGCAAGCGUUGUCCGGAAUAAUUGGGCGUAAAGGGCGCGUAGGCGGCUCGGUAAGUCUGGAGUGAAAGUCCUGCUUUUAAGGUGGGAAUUGCUUUGGAUACUGUCGGGCUUGAGUGCAGGAGAGGUUAGUGGAAUUCCCAGUGUAGCGGUGAAAUGCGUAGAGAUUGGGAGGAACACCAGUGGCGAAGGCGACUAACUGGACUGUAACUGACGCUGAGGCGCGAAAGUGUGGGGAGCAAACAGGAUUAGAUACCCUGGUAGUCCACACUGUAAACGAUGAAUGCUAGGUGUAGGGGGUAUCGACCCCUUCUGUGCCGCAGUCAACACAAUAAGCAUUCCGCCUGGGGAGUACGGCCGCAAGGUUGAAACUCAAAGGAAUUGACGGGGGCCCGCACAAGCAGCGGAGCAUGUGGUUUAAUUCGACGCAACGCGAAGAACCUUACCAGGUCUUGACAUCCACUUAAACUUACAGAGAUGUAAGGUGUGCUUGCACAAAGUGAGACAGGUGGUGCAUGGUUGUCGUCAGCUCGUGUCGUGAGAUGUUGGGUUAAGUCCCGCAACGAGCGCAACCCUUAUCUUCAGUUACUAACGCGUAAAGGUGAGGACUCUGAAGAGACUGCCGGGGACAACUCGGAGGAAGGUGGGGACGACGUCAAAUCAUCAUGCCCCUUAUGACCUGGGCUACACACGUGCU